This 254-nucleotide ribosomal RNA is filed under the name uncultured bacterium. RNAcentral's name for it is "partial 16S ribosomal RNA". It matches the Rfam family "Bacterial small subunit ribosomal RNA", at positions 524 to 777 of the family's 1533-position model. The record is from RNAcentral.
UACAGAGGGGGCAAGCGUUAUUCGGAAUUAUUGGGCGUAAAGGGCGCGUAGGCGGCCUGGCAAGUGGAAGGUGAAAUCCCUCGGCUUAACCGAGGAACUGCCCUCCAAACUGCUUGGCUUGAGUCCGGGAGAGGUGAGUGGAAUUCCCAGUGUAGCGGUGAAAUGCGUAGAUAUUGGGAGGAACACCAGUGGCGAAGGCGGCUCACUGGACCGGAACUGACGCUGAUGCGCGAAAGCGUGGGGAGCAAACGGGG